RNAcentral lists this ribosomal RNA (460 nucleotides) under uncultured bacterium. RNAcentral describes it as "partial 16S ribosomal RNA". It matches the Rfam family "Bacterial small subunit ribosomal RNA", at positions 338 to 795 of the family's 1533-position model. The record is from RNAcentral.
CCUACGGGUGGCAGCAGUGAGGAAUAUUGGUCAAUGGACGAGAGUCUGAACCAGCCAAGUCGCGUGAAGGAUGACUGCCCUCUGGGUUGUAAACUUCUUUUAUAUGGGAAUAAAAUGUUCCACGUGUGGGAUUUUGUAUGUACCAUAUGAAUAAGGAUCGGCUAACUCCGUGCCAGCAGCCGCGGUAAUACGGAGGAUCCGAGCGUUAUCCGGAUUUAUUGGGUUUAAAGGGAGCGUAGGUGGAUUGUUAAGUCAGUUGUGAAAGUUUGCGGCUCAACCGUAAAAUUGCAGUUGAAACUGGCAGUCUUGAGUACAGUAGAGGUGGGCGGAAUUCGUGGUGUAGCGGUGAAAUGCUUAGAUAUCACGAAGAACUCCGAUUGCGAAGGCAGUUCACUGGACUGCAACUGACACUGAGGCUCGAAAGUGUGGGUAUCAAACAGGAUUAGAUACCCGAGUAGUC